RNAcentral lists this transfer RNA (84 nucleotides) under Candidatus Gastranaerophilales bacterium. RNAcentral describes it as "tRNA-Leu". It matches the Rfam family "tRNA". From Rfam's summary of the family: Transfer RNA (tRNA) molecules are approximately 80 nucleotides in length. Their secondary structure includes four short double-helical elements and three loops (D, anti-codon, and T loops). The record is from RNAcentral. Lineage: Bacteria; Bacillati; Candidatus Melainabacteria; Candidatus Gastranaerophilales.
GCGGUUGUGCUGGAACUGGCAGACAGGCAUGACUAAGGAUCAUGUGUCUCCGACGUGCAGGUUCAAGUCCUGUCAACCGCACCA